RNAcentral lists this unclassified non-coding RNA (509 nucleotides) under Amphimedon queenslandica. Its description in RNAcentral is "uncharacterized LOC109587750, transcript variant X1". Lineage: Eukaryota; Metazoa; Porifera; Demospongiae; Haplosclerida; Niphatidae. The record is from RNAcentral.
ACGCUGGCAUCAUGUCUCACUGAUACCGUGUCGCCACACUCACCCUCUCCUCUUAAGAACUGGCCAGAAAUGAAUUUUAAAUCAGAUCAGAGACACACCCUUGAGUUAUAGAUCAGGUUUUCUAAAGUGUAGCUCAUUAGUUUAUUCAUUAUUAUUUGUAUUGAUAUUAAAUUGGAGGAAAGGACGGUCUGCCCCUGCAAUUAGUUAUAACGAGGAUUUACUAUCAACUACUCAGUUAAUACAAUCACUAGCUACUGCUAAAUGGUUAGUGAAGCCAUUGUGUUAUGUUAGUGAAUUAUUCAGUGAGCUGUCUUGUGAAGACAUAGCGAGAUUAUUAGAAAUAUGUGAUUCGUUUAUAUAUAGUAAUUAUCAAGAUAUACUAAAAGGAAAGAUUCCAACAGAAGAUUCCCUCCCUGAUAGUUCAUGGAGUACAUUGAAGGCAAUAUUAAGACAAAAUAUUAAUAAAUUUGGAAACAUUUACUAUAGAUUUGUAUCUAGAGAACACAUUA